AUUAAACGCUGGCGGCAUGCCUUACACAUGCAAGUCGAACGGCAGCACGGGGGCAACCCUGGUGGCGAGUGGCGGACGGGUGAGUAAAGCAUCGGAACGUAUCCUGGAGUGGGGGAUAACGUAGCGAAAGUUACGCUAAUACCGCAUAUUCUGUGAGCAGGAAAGCAGGGGAUCGCAAGACCUUGCGCUCUGGGAGCGGCCGAUGUCGGAUUAACUAGUUGGUGGGGUAAAGGCCUACCAAGGCGACGAUCCGUAGCGGGUCUGAGAGGAUGAUCCGCCACACUGGGACUGAGACACGGCCCAGACUCCUACGGGAGGCAGCAGUGGGGAAUUUUGGACAAUGGGCGCAAGCCUGAUCCAGCCAUGCCGCGUGAGUGAAGAAGGCCAUCGGGUUGUAAAGCUCUUUCGGCGGGGAAGAAAUUGCACGGGUUAAUACCCUGUGUAGAUGACGGUACCCGAAUAAGAAGCACCGGCUAACUACGUGCCAGCAGCCGCGGUAAU
This 501-nucleotide ribosomal RNA is filed under the name uncultured bacterium. RNAcentral describes it as "bacterial SSU rRNA". It matches the Rfam family "Bacterial small subunit ribosomal RNA", at positions 29 to 524 of the family's 1533-position model. The record is from RNAcentral.